Molecule: long non-coding RNA, 296 nt
Organism: Rhagoletis pomonella (apple maggot)
Lineage: Eukaryota; Metazoa; Arthropoda; Insecta; Diptera; Tephritidae
Exons: 2
Source: RefSeq, a predicted model, not a curated record
AUUGUUUCGUGGAAAUUCAUUUUCUUAUUGUGCAAAUUCAAGGUAUCGGAGUUAUUUAUAAUUUGUAUUCAAAAAGUAGCGUUUUACAACAAGUGCAGCCGUUGCAAGUAAGUUUUGCAUGUUAGGAUCCCUGUGUGUCCGUCCACGUAUGGCUGGUGCAGAUAAUACAAAUAUUAAUAAAUAUAUUCUCUUGUGAAGGUCAGGAUCACUUGGUUGUCCGUCCACGUUUGCUGAUGCAUGUAUUUUUACCACUGCAGCGUUUGGGUUGGUCAAGUGCAGCCUUUGCAUAUUUACAA